Molecule: ribosomal RNA, 250 nt
Filed under: uncultured bacterium
Lineage: Bacteria
Description: partial 16S ribosomal RNA
Rfam family: Bacterial small subunit ribosomal RNA
Source: RNAcentral
UCGAGAAUCAUUCGCAAUGGGCGAAAGCCUGACGAUGCGACGCCGUGUGAGCGAAGAAGGCCUUCGGGUUGUAAAGCUCUUUCGCAUUGGAACAAGGGAGCGUGGCGAAUAGCCUAGUUUCUUGAGCGUACUUUGUAAAGAAGCACCGGCUAACUCCGUGCCAGCAGCUGCGGUAAUACGGAGGGUGCAAGCGUUAAUCGGAUUUAUUGGGCGUAAAGGGCGUCUAGGUGGGAGUGUAAGUCAGAUGUGA